RNAcentral lists this ribosomal RNA (490 nucleotides) under uncultured bacterium. RNAcentral describes it as "partial 16S ribosomal RNA". It matches the Rfam family "Bacterial small subunit ribosomal RNA", at positions 28 to 523 of the family's 1533-position model. The record is from RNAcentral.
GAUGAACGCUGGCGGCGUGCUUAACACAUGCAAGUCGAACGAAGCACUUAUGAUUCUUCGGAAAAGUAAGUGACUGAGUGGCGGACGGGUGAGUAACGCGUGGGUAACCUGCCUUAUACAGGGGGAUAACAGUUAGAAAUGACUGCUAAUACCGCAUAACCCGCUAUGGCCGCAUGGCCAAGACGGAAAAGAUUUAUCGGUAUAAGAUGGACCCGCGUCUGAUUAGCUAGUUGGUGAGGUAAUGGCUCACCAAGGCGACGAUCAGUAGCCGGCUUGAGAGAGUGAACGGCCACAUUGGGACUGAGACACGGCCCAAACUCCUACGGGAGGCAGCAGUGGGGAGUAUUGCACAAUGGGGGAAACCCUGAUGCAGCAACGCCGCGUGAAGGAAGAUGUAUUUCGGAUUGUAAACUUCUAUCAACGGGGAAGAAAAAAAUGACAGUACCCGAAUAAGAAGCCCCGGCUAACUACGUGCCAGCAGCCGCCGCCG